ACCAGACUCCUACGGGAGGCAGCAGUGGGGGAUAUUGCACAAUGGGGGGAACCCUGAUGCAGCGACGCCGCGUGGGUGAAGAAGCGCCUCGGCGCGUAAAGCCCUGUCAGCAGGGAAGAAAAUGACGGUACCUGAAGAAGAAGCCCCGGCUAACUACGUGCCAGCAGCCGCGGUAAUACGUAGGGGGCAAGCGUUAUCCGGAUUUACUGGGUGUAAAGGGGGCGCAGACGGCGAUGCAAGCCAGGAGUGAAAGCCCGGGGCCCAACCCCGGGACUGCUCUUGGAACUGCGUGGCUGGAGUGCAGGAGAGGCAGGCGGAAUUCCUGGUGUAGCGGUGAAAUGCGUAGAUAUCAGGAGGAACACCGGUGGCGAAGGCGGCCUGCUGGACUGCAACUGACGUUGAGGCCCGAAAGCGUGGGGAGCAAACAGGAUUAGAUACCCCGGUAAUC
RNAcentral lists this ribosomal RNA (448 nucleotides) under uncultured bacterium. RNAcentral describes it as "bacterial SSU rRNA". It matches the Rfam family "Bacterial small subunit ribosomal RNA", at positions 330 to 795 of the family's 1533-position model. The record is from RNAcentral.